CCAAUAGCGUAUAUUAAAGUUGUUGCAGUUAAAAAGCUCGUAGUUGAAUUUCGGGACCAAUAUGUCGGUCGUACUUUGUACAUACUAGCAUCAUUGGUUUCUCCCUUCUGAAGAACCGCGAUGUCAUUAAUUUGGUGUCGUGGGGAAUCAGGACUGUUACUUUGAAAAAAUUAGAGUGUUUAAAGCAGGCUCGCGCUUGA
RNAcentral lists this ribosomal RNA (200 nucleotides) under uncultured Glomus. RNAcentral describes it as "partial small subunit ribosomal RNA". It matches the Rfam family "Eukaryotic small subunit ribosomal RNA", at positions 591 to 798 of the family's 1831-position model. The record is from RNAcentral. Lineage: Eukaryota; Fungi; Glomeromycota; Glomeromycetes; Glomerales; Glomeraceae.